GACGAACGCUGGCGGCGUGCUUAACACAUGCAAGUCGAACGGAAAGGCCCUGCUUUUGUGGGGUGCUCGAGUGGCGAACGGGUGAGUAACACGUGAGUAACCUGCCCUUGACUUUGGGAUAACUUCAGGAAACUGGGGCUAAUACCGGAUAGGAGCUCCUGCUGCAUGGUGGGGGUUGGAAAUUUUCGGCGGUUGGGGAUGGACUCGCGGCUUAUCAGCUUGUUGGUGGGGUAGUGGCUUACCAAGGCUUUGACGGGUAGCCGGCCUGAGAGGGUGACCGGCCACAUUGGGACUGAGAUACGGACCAGACUCCUACGGGAGGCAGCAGUGGGGAAUAUUGCACAAUGGGCGGAAGCCUGAUGCAGCAACGCCGCGUGCGGGAUGACGGCCUUCGGGUUGUAAACCGCUUUCGCCUGUGACGAAGCGUGAGUGACGGUAAUGGGUAAAGAAGCACCGGCUAACUACGUG
This 468-nucleotide ribosomal RNA is filed under the name uncultured bacterium. RNAcentral describes it as "partial 16S ribosomal RNA". It matches the Rfam family "Bacterial small subunit ribosomal RNA", at positions 28 to 507 of the family's 1533-position model. The record is from RNAcentral.